Long non-coding RNA from Anas platyrhynchos (mallard), 1348 nucleotides. RefSeq lists it as uncharacterized. NCBI's taxonomy places the organism in Eukaryota, Metazoa, Chordata, Aves, Anseriformes, Anatidae. The record is from RefSeq and is a predicted model, not a curated record.
UUUUGCUGAUGAGCAGAAACAUGCCUGUUUACUAUCAAAGACACAGUAUCCCAGAUACAAAUCCUUGCUCUGUGUGAAUUGGCGUCUAUCAGUCCUAGGCUUGCCAAGACACAAAAAAUGGAGGAAAAUAAACAAAAUUGUACUGCAUGCCAGGAAGAAAAGACCUGGGACAGUGGUUCAGCCCAUAAACCCUUCUCUAUAAGAUCUGGCUUGAAAUUCAGUACAGCAGUAAUGAUUGCAUUGCAGCCUGGGGCACAGUACUGAGGAAACAACAAACUGCAAUGCUGAAUCAAGUCAACUCCUUCACGUUUGAGAGCAGCUAUGUGGGCCUUUGUUAUCAUUAAAUGAACUUCAGUGAGCUUGUGAAGAUAUGCAGAGACAAGCUCUGUGGAGCUCCUUGUAUUUCAUGUGAACAGAGGAGCCAUCUCACCCUAGUUGUGCGGAUCCAGAGCACAGUGUGUACCCAAUUCUGCUAAUGUUCAGUAUAAAAUGGAGACAACUAAAUUUAGGCAUCUCUGUGUAGGUUUAUACAUGUGAGCCAGAUGUCUAAAUUCCCAUUGUGGUCUUUGAAUGAAAAGCCCUCAAUACAGCCACGAAGGCAGAAGUUUAAGAGAUUUCUGCUUGCCCUAAAAAACAAGGAGACACCCCCGCCUCCGAGGGGUGUUUUGAGUCUUCUCUCUCCUUUUAGUCUGUGGGGAGAGCCGGCGGUGUCUCUGUUCUGAAGCAGCUAAAUACAUUAAAAUAAAUACAAUAUGUGGUAAGUUAAUGAAUGCUAAUCAAGAUUAAUACGCUGAAAUCACUGAGAUUCAUCUUUUCAAGAGAGGGAUAAGUCAGAGGAAAAUCAAGCUGCAUAUGUCUGAUAGCUGCACAAAAUUGCUGUAGAUGAUUUAAUGGGUCAUUUUUAUUAUUUAUGCUGUAUGCAUUCCAAUUCAGUAACAAAAAGACUUGCCAGCAUGAGAUUAACCGAGGGAUCAUUGUGUCAACUAAUACGUGAAACUGGUUCCAAAUACUCUUGAAUUCACCAAAUGCAUGAAAUACCCCAAAUCAGCCUAUUGUGGGGGCAUCAUACACCCACUGGUUCACAGAGAAACAUGAAACCAUCUCUGCUUAACAUGAGAGGAUCAUUUUUUCUCAUUCUCAAGACAUAAUCAAAAUUAAGAAAUACUCUACAUCUUGUAUUAGUUACAUACGGUGCACAUAAUUAUCUGUGGACCCUGAGAGAUAUCUAAGGAUCUGCAAGGAGGGGCAAGAAACGUAAAAUGUAGUUUUGUUAAGGCAAAAACAUUCAACUGCAACUGUGUACAGUGGGAUAGGGCAGAAGUGCAAGGCAAUAAAUAACAGGUUUGUU